This is a long non-coding RNA of Rhagoletis zephyria (snowberry fruit fly), 301 nucleotides long. RefSeq lists it as uncharacterized. NCBI's taxonomy places the organism in Eukaryota, Metazoa, Arthropoda, Insecta, Diptera, Tephritidae. The record is from RefSeq and is a predicted model, not a curated record.
CGUUCGAGUAGAAUUAUUCAAAACACCAUUCGACAGUAAAUUUUGCAUCGAGAAGUGGGAAAUUAAAAUAAAACAACAAAAUGACAAACAUAAACAAAAUCAACAAAAAACAAAAAAGUAUUAUGGCGGAAUAUAUGCAGGAGCACCCGGAUUUGGCCAGAAAUAUUCUGCCAAAUUGCGCUCAAGGAAGAACCGUUGCUCAAAGAUUGUGGGAGCAACUUUCCUUAAAAUUAAAUUCUGUUGGUCCGCCUACAAAAGAACUUAAAAUGUGGCGUAAAGUAUUUGCAGACCAUAAGCAGCA